GACGAACCGUGCGAACGUUGUUCGGAAUAACUGGGCUUAAAGGGCGCGUAGGCGGGCAGUCAAGUCAGGGGUGAAAUCCCACGGCUCAACCGUGGAAGUGCCUUUGAUACUGGCUGUCUGGAGGGAGGUAGGGGCGUGCGGAACUUCCGGUGGAGCGGUGAAAUGCGUAGAUAUCGGAAGGAACGCCGGUGGCGAAAGCGGCGCGCUGGACCUCUUCUGACGCUGAGGCGCGAAAGCCAGGGGAGCAAACGGG
RNAcentral lists this ribosomal RNA (253 nucleotides) under uncultured bacterium. RNAcentral's name for it is "partial 16S ribosomal RNA". It matches the Rfam family "Bacterial small subunit ribosomal RNA", at positions 524 to 776 of the family's 1533-position model. The record is from RNAcentral.